RNAcentral lists this ribosomal RNA (480 nucleotides) under uncultured bacterium. RNAcentral describes it as "partial 16S ribosomal RNA". It matches the Rfam family "Bacterial small subunit ribosomal RNA", at positions 28 to 507 of the family's 1533-position model. The record is from RNAcentral.
GAUGAACGCUAGCGGCAGGCCUAAUACAUGCAAGUCGAGGGGUAUGGGUUGCUUGCAACCCAGAGACCGGCGCACGGGUGCGUAACGCGUAUGCAAUCUACCUUAAUCAGGGGGAUAGCCCGGAGAAAUCCGGAUUAACACCGCAUAACAUUGAGUUGUGGCAUCACAGUUCAAUCAAAUAUUUAUAGGAUUAAGAUGAGCAUGCGUGACAUUAGUUAGUUGGUGAGGUAACGGCUCACCAAGACCACGAUGUCUAGGGGAUCUGAGAGGAUGACCCCCCACACUGGUACUGAGACACGGGCCAGACUCCUACGGGAGGCAGCAGUAAGGAAUAUUGGUCAAUGGGCGCAAGCCUGAACCAGCCAUGCCGCGUGCAGGAAGACGGCCCUAUGGGUUGUAAACUGCUUUUGUACCGGAAUAAACCUUCUCUUGCGAGAGAAGCUGAACGUACGGUAAGAAUAAGGAGCGGCUAACUCCGUG